ACGUGUAGCAGUGAAAUGCGUAGAGAUGUGGAGGAAUACCGAUGGCGAAGGCAGCCUCCUGGGAUAACACUGACGUUCAUGCCCGAAAGCGUGGGUAGCGAACAGGAUUAGAUACCCUGGUAGUNCACGCCCUAAACGAUGUCGAUUAGCUGUUGGGCAGCAUGACUGCUUAGUAGCGAAGCUAACGCGUGAAAUCGACCGCCUGGGGAGUACGGUCGCAAGAUUAAAACUCAAAGGAAUUGACGGGGACCCGCACAAGCGGUGGAUGAUGUGGAUUAAUUCGAUGCAACGCGAAGAACCUUACCUGGUCUUGACAUGUACGGAAUCCUCCAGAGACGGAGGAGUGCCUUCGGGAGCCGUAACACAGGUGCUGCAUGGCUGUCGUCAGCUCGUGUCGUGAGAUGUUGGGUUAAGUCCCGCAACGAGCGCAACCCUUGUCAUUAGUUGCCAUCAUUAAGUUGGGCACUCUAAUGAGACUGCCGGUGACAAGCCGGAGGAAGGUGGGGAUGACGUCAAGUCCUCAUGGCCCUUAUGACCAGGGCUUCACACGUCAUACAAUGGUCGGUACAGAGGGUGGCCAAGCCGCGAGGCGGAGCCAAUCUCACAAAACCGAUCGUAGUCCGGAUUGCACUCUGCAACUCGAGUGCAUGAAGUCGGAAUCGCUAGUAAUCGCAGGUCAGCAUACUGCGGUGAAUACGUUCCCGGGUCUUGUACACACCGCCCGUCGCACCAUGGGAGUGGGGGAUACCAGAAGUAGGUAGGGUAACCGCAAG
Molecule: ribosomal RNA, 773 nt
Filed under: uncultured bacterium
Lineage: Bacteria
Description: bacterial SSU rRNA
Rfam family: Bacterial small subunit ribosomal RNA
Source: RNAcentral